Molecule: unclassified non-coding RNA, 256 nt
Filed under: Hevea brasiliensis (rubber tree)
Lineage: Eukaryota; Viridiplantae; Streptophyta; Magnoliopsida; Malpighiales; Euphorbiaceae
Source: RNAcentral
GUUGAGCUUCGCCUUCUAAGUUCUUAUAGAGGUCUGGUUCGGUUGGCGUAUCAGCUCAAAUUCUUUCUCUCUUUCAGAUCUACGCUGCCGAUUUCAUCAGAGAUGGAGACCUUUCUAUUUACCUCUGAAUCUGUAAAUGAGGGUCACCCCGACAAGCUCUGUGACCAGAUCUCCGAUGCGGUGCUCGACGCCUGCCUAGCUCAGGACCCUGACAGCAAGGUCGCAUGUGAGACCUGCAGCAAGACCAACAUGGUCG